UCUGGCGACAAUAGCGAUGUGGCACCACCUGAUCCCAUUCCGAACUCAGAAGUGAAACACAUUAGCGGCGAUGGUAGUUUGGGGUCUCCCCAUGCGAGAGUAGCACAUUGCCAGGC
Molecule: ribosomal RNA, 116 nt
Filed under: Arenicella sp.
Lineage: Bacteria; Pseudomonadati; Pseudomonadota; Gammaproteobacteria; Arenicellales; Arenicellaceae
Also listed under: 1 other name
Source: RNAcentral